GAGUGGCAAACGGGUGAGUAACACGUGGGUGACCUGCCUUCGAGUGGGGGAUAACGUCCCGAAAGGGACGCUAAUACCGCAUGACAUCCUGCCUUUGAAGAGGUGGAGCUUAAAGCCGGGGAUCGCAAGACCUGGCGCUUGAAGAGGGGCCCGCGCCUGAUUAGCUAGUUGGUGAGGUAACGGCUCACCAAGGCAUCGAUCAGUAUCCGGCCUGAGAGGGCGGACGGACACACUGGGACUGAGACACGGCCCAGACUCCUACGGGAGGCAGCAGUGGGGAAUUGUUCGCAAUGGGCGCAAGCCUGACGACGCAACGCCGCGUGGAGGAUGAAGAUCUUCGGGUCGUAAACUCCUUUCGAUCGAGACGAACGGCUUCCGGGUUAACAGCCCGGGAGAGUGACGGUACCGAGAGAAGAAGCCCCGGCUAACUCCGUGCCAGCAGCCGCGGUAAUACGGGGGGGGCAAGCGUUGUUCGGAAUUACUGGGCGUAAAGGGCUCGUAGGCGGCCAACUAAGUCAGACGUGAAAUCCCUCGGCUUAACCGGGGAACUGCGUCUGAUACUGGAUGGCUUGAGAUUGGGAGAGGGAUGCGGAAUUCCAGGUGUAGCGGUGAAAUGCGUAGAUAUCUGGAGGAACACCGGUGGCGAAGGCGGCAUCCUGGACCAACAC
This 668-nucleotide ribosomal RNA is filed under the name uncultured bacterium. RNAcentral describes it as "bacterial SSU rRNA". It matches the Rfam family "Bacterial small subunit ribosomal RNA", at positions 93 to 740 of the family's 1533-position model. The record is from RNAcentral.